RNAcentral lists this ribosomal RNA (385 nucleotides) under Oreolalax major (common lazy toad). RNAcentral describes it as "partial small subunit ribosomal RNA". It matches the Rfam family "Bacterial small subunit ribosomal RNA", at positions 848 to 1401 of the family's 1533-position model. Lineage: Eukaryota; Metazoa; Chordata; Amphibia; Anura; Megophryidae. The record is from RNAcentral.
UUGAUUAAUUACAAUUUUAUUCGCCAGGGAACUACGAGCGUCAGCUUAAAACCCAAAGGACUUGGCGGUGCCCUACACCUCCUAGAGGAGCCUGUUCUAUAAUCGAUGAUCCACGAUACACCUCACCGUUUCUUGCCAAAACCGCCUAUAUACCGCCGUCUCCAACUUACCCUAUGAAGGAUUUACAGUAAGUUCAAAGAUUACUCAUCAGAACGUCAGGUCAAGGUGUAGCGAAUGAAACGGGAAGAAAUGGGCUACAUUUUCUAUUUUAGAUCACACGGACAGUCAGUAUGAAACCUGAUUAUGAAGGAGGAUUUAGCAGUAAAAAGAAAUCAGCAAGUUCUUUUUAAGUCGGACCUAGGGCGCGUACACACCGCCCGUCACC